RNAcentral lists this unclassified non-coding RNA (159 nucleotides) under soil metagenome. Its description in RNAcentral is "partial internal transcribed spacer 1". The record is from RNAcentral.
CUGAGAUUUGUCCAGACCUCUCCAACCCCUUGUUGACCAUACCACUGUUGCCUUGGCGGAGUCCCUAGCCCCGCUUCCGGUAAACGGGACGGCCGCCAGAGGACCCUCAACAACUCUGAUUUCUAUGUAACUUUCUGAGUACAACAUUAAAUUAAUUAA